GAUGAACGCUGGCGGCGUGCCUAAUACAUGCAAGUCGAGCGAACAGAUAAGGAGCUUGCUCCUUUGACGUUAGCGGCGGACGGGUGAGUAACACGUGGGUAACCUAUCUAUAAGACUGGAAUAACUCCGGGAAACCGGGGCUAAUGCCGGAUAACAUGUUGAACCGCAUGGUUCUACAGUGAAAGGCGGCUUUGCUGUCACUUAUAGAUGGACCCGCGCCGUUUUAGCUAGUUGGUGAGGUAACGGCUCACCAAGGCAACGAUACGUAGCCGACCUGAGAGGGGGAUCGGCCACACUGGAACUGAGACACGGCCCAGACUCCUACGGGAGGCAGCAGUAGGGAAUCUUCCGAGAUGGGCGAAAGCCUGACGGAGCAACGCCGCGUGAGUGAUGAAGGUCUUCGGAUCGUAAAACUCUGUUAUUAGGGAAGAACAAAUGCGUAAGUAACGGUGCGCGUCUUGACGGUACCUAAUCAGAAAGCCACGGCUAACUACGUG
RNAcentral lists this ribosomal RNA (497 nucleotides) under uncultured bacterium. Its description in RNAcentral is "partial 16S ribosomal RNA". It matches the Rfam family "Bacterial small subunit ribosomal RNA", at positions 28 to 507 of the family's 1533-position model. The record is from RNAcentral.